Molecule: non-coding RNA, 818 nt
Organism: Myodes glareolus (Bank vole)
Lineage: Eukaryota; Metazoa; Chordata; Mammalia; Rodentia; Cricetidae
Source: RefSeq, a predicted model, not a curated record
GUGACGAGCCUGGGCCAAAGCCAAACUGCUUUUUUCAUAUUGUGACAUAACCUUUUUCUGUGUGCAUUGGGCUGGUGAUAGUCACUGUGGUCAGAAGCUUUCUGCGUGUUACAAGCAUGCUGCCGCUUCCUUGCAAGAAUGCCUGACUGUGUCAUGGCCUCCAAGGAAUGGUUACAUUAAAAGAGCAGCUCCCCUGCCUCUGGAGCUCAGCCCAUUACCCACUCCACCAUGGCUCAGUGCAGAACUGACUCAGACCUGUGAGUACAGGAGAGAAGAGAAACAUGUAACAAUGCAGCUGAGACACUGAGGGAAAAGGACAGAAAUCUGGGCACUCCAUGCUGGGAGGAGAAGAACCUGAAGCCCCGGUGGCAGAGGAAAAACAGCUGGAGGUGGAACUGACUCAGGAGAAUCUGUGUCUGCGGGUAAAGCAAUGAGAGAAACAGAGUGUUCGGUUCUAAACAGAGCAUCGCUGUUAAUGCUACCGCCAGCAAGGCUCCGUGAACAUCACCAAAGAAUGGAAGAACGUGGGAGCCACAGGGUGGGGAGCAGUGCUAUGAAAUCCUGUUUUCCGGGCUCAUCAUGAUCACCGGGGUUAUGAACGCACUGUAGCUAUGGUUCCGUGAACCAGACCUAUGUAUGAUCAGUGCAGCCAAAAUCCCGGAUAGAUGACUGCCAGAUCCCGUGCUAUACUCAGUGAUGAAUGUGAUGGAGUAGAGAGGGUCAUUUUAUUGUUGAGUGUAUGGUUGCUGGUAGUUUCCCAGGCCAGUGGGUGCCCCCCCCGCACAUAGGCAGCAUUAACUGGACUUAGUGAUUAUUUA